RNAcentral lists this ribosomal RNA (515 nucleotides) under uncultured bacterium. Its description in RNAcentral is "partial 16S ribosomal RNA". It matches the Rfam family "Bacterial small subunit ribosomal RNA", at positions 30 to 523 of the family's 1533-position model. The record is from RNAcentral.
AUUGAACGCUGGAGGCGUGCUUAACACAUGCUAGUCGUGCGAGAAAGGGACUUCGGUCCUGAGUAGAGCGGCGCACGGGUGAGUAACGCGUGGGUGAUCUCCCUUGGUGAUCGGGAUGACAGCGGGAAACUGCUGCUAAUACCGGAUAAUCUUCAUGUUUAACUUCAUGGGGUAAAGGUGGCCUCUGCUUGCAAGCUACCACAUCAAGAUGAGCCCGCGUCUCAUUAGCUAGUUGGUAGGGUAACGGCCUACCAAGGCGACGAUGAGUAGCUGGUCUGAGAGGAUGACCAGCCACACUGGGACUGGAACACGGCCCAGACUCCUACGGGAGGCAGCAGUGGGGAAUAUUGCGCAAUGGGCGAAAGCCUGACGCAGCGACGCCUCGUGAGGGAUGAAGGUCUUCGGAUCGUAAACCUCUGUCAAGAGGGAAGAAACCCUUGGAUUCGAACAGGGUCCUUGGCUGACGGUACCUCAAGAAUAAGCACCGGCUAACUACGUGCCAGCCGCCGCAGUAA